GCCAGACUCCUACGGGAGGCAGCAGUGGGGGAUAUUGGACAAUGGGGGAAACCCUGAUCCAGCGAUGCCGCGUGAGGGAAGAAGGUUUUCGGAUUGUAAACCUCUGUGGACAGGGACGAUAAUGACGGUACCUGUCAAGAAAGCCACGGCUAACUACGUGCCAGCAGCCGCGGUAAUACGUAGGGGGCAAGCGUUAUCCGGAAUUACUGGGUGUAAAGGGAGCGUAGACGGUGAUGCAAGUCUGGAGUGAAAGGCGGGGGCCCAACCCCCGGACUGCUCUGGAAACUGUGUAACUUGAGUGCAGGAGAGGUAAGCGGAAUUCCUAGUGUAGCGGUGAAAUGCGUAGAUAUUAGGAGGAACACCAGUGGCGAAGGCGGCUUACUGGACUGUAACUGACGUUGAGGCUCGAAAGCGUGGGGAGCAAACAGGAUUAGAUACCCCCGUA
RNAcentral lists this ribosomal RNA (445 nucleotides) under uncultured bacterium. RNAcentral's name for it is "bacterial SSU rRNA". It matches the Rfam family "Bacterial small subunit ribosomal RNA", at positions 330 to 792 of the family's 1533-position model. The record is from RNAcentral.